AUUGAACGCUGGCGGCAUGCCUUACACAUGCAAGUCGAACGGCAGCACGGGUGCUUGCACCUGGUGGCGAGUGGCGAACGGGUGAGUAAUACAUCGGAACAUGUCCUGUAGUGGGGGAUAGCCCGGCGAAAGCCGGAUUAAUACCGCAUACGAUCUACGGAUGAAAGCGGGGGACCUUCGGGCCUCGCGCUAUAGGGUUGGCCGAUGGCUGAUUAGCUAGUUGGUGGGGUAAAGGCCUACCAAGGCGAUGAUCAGUAGCUGGUCUGAGAGGACGACCAGCCACACUGGGACUGAGACACGGCCCAGACUCCUACGGGAGGCAGCAGUGGGGAAUUUUGGACAAUGGGCGAAAGCCUGAUCCAGCAAUGCCGCGUGUGUGAAGAAGGCCUUCGGGUUGUAAAGCACUUUUGUCCGGAAAGAAAUCCUUGGCCCUAAUACGGUCGGGGGAUGACGGUACCGGAAGAAUAAGCACCGGCUAACUACGUG
Molecule: ribosomal RNA, 486 nt
Filed under: uncultured bacterium
Lineage: Bacteria
Description: partial 16S ribosomal RNA
Rfam family: Bacterial small subunit ribosomal RNA
Source: RNAcentral